ACAAAGUGUCUGAUGAAACUGAUGAUGAACUCUUUGAGAUAACAGAUUUUACUAAUGCCUCCCCGUGGGAAAGUUUUGUCUCCACCAUUGAAGACAUAUUGCAACAGUGGGGCCUCACUGCAUCCACUUAUUCAGCAGAUUCUGGUUAUUGGCCACAGCACAGGAAGUCAGAGAAGCUCUCUUAUGUUGGACAUGAUUUCAUUGUUAGCCUCCACGUGUCUGGUGAGAAGAAACGACUGAUACCGAAACAAUGAGAUCAGGAUUGGCCUGAUGCUAUGGUACAUACCGUAUAGCCAAAAAAUUUCGUGAGGAAUAAAUUUUCGUAUUUUCGUGAUCACUGUUUGCAUCACGAAAAAUUAAACCCCC
Molecule: long non-coding RNA, 366 nt
Organism: Amphimedon queenslandica
Lineage: Eukaryota; Metazoa; Porifera; Demospongiae; Haplosclerida; Niphatidae
Exons: 4
Source: RefSeq, a predicted model, not a curated record